This 450-nucleotide ribosomal RNA is filed under the name uncultured bacterium. Its description in RNAcentral is "partial 16S ribosomal RNA". It matches the Rfam family "Bacterial small subunit ribosomal RNA", at positions 354 to 796 of the family's 1533-position model. The record is from RNAcentral.
GUGGGGAAUAUUGGACAAUGGGCGAAAGCCUGAUCCAGCCAUGCCGCGUGUGUGAAGAAGGUCUUCGGAUUGUAAAGCACUUUAAGUUGGGAGGAAGGGCAGUAAGUUAAUACCUUGCUGUUUUGACGUUACCAACAGAAUAAGCACCGGCUAACUUCGUGCCAGCAGCCGCGGUAAUACGAAGGGUGCAAGCGUUAAUCGGAAUUACUGGGCGUAAAGCGCGCGUAGGUGGUUCAGCAAGUUGGAGGUGAAAUCCCCGGGCUCAACCUGGGAACAGUCUACAAAACUACUGAGCUAGAGUACGGUAGAGGGUAGUGGAAUUUCCUGUGUAGCGGUGAAAUGCGUAGAUAUAGGAAGGAACACCAGUGGCGAAGGCGACUACCUGGACUGAUACUGACACUGAGGUGCGAAAGCGUGGGGAGCAAACAGGAUUAGAUACCCCAGUAGUCC